UACGUAGGGGGCAAGCGUUAUCCGGAUUUACUGGGUGUAAAGGGAGCGUAGACGGUGAGACAAGUCUGCAGUGAAAGCCCGGGGCUCAACCCCGGGACUGCUUUUGAAACUGUGUGACUGGAGUGCCGGAGAGGUAAGUGGAAUUCCUAGUGUAGCGGUGAAAUGCGUAGAUAUUAGGAGGAACACCAGUGGCGGAGGCGGCUUACUGGACGGUAACUGACGCUGAGGCUCGAAAGUGUGGGUAUCAAACAGG
Molecule: ribosomal RNA, 253 nt
Filed under: uncultured Eubacteriales bacterium
Lineage: Bacteria; Bacillati; Bacillota; Clostridia; Eubacteriales
Description: uncultured Clostridiales bacterium partial 16S ribosomal RNA
Rfam family: Bacterial small subunit ribosomal RNA
Source: RNAcentral